Molecule: ribosomal RNA, 497 nt
Filed under: uncultured bacterium
Lineage: Bacteria
Description: partial 16S ribosomal RNA
Rfam family: Bacterial small subunit ribosomal RNA
Source: RNAcentral
GGGGGGGGGGGGCGGGGGGGCUGGGGGGGGCGAGGCGGGCGGACAGAGGAGGAGCUUGCUCCUCUGACGUUAGCGGCGGACGGGUGAGUAACACGUGGAUAACCUACCUAUAAGACUGGGAUAACUUCGGGAAACCGGAGCUAAUACCGGAUAAUAUAUUGAACCGCAUGGUUCAAUAGUGAAAGACGGUUUUGCUGUCACUUAUAGAUGGAUCCGCGCCGCAUUAGCUAGUUGGUAAGGUAACGGCUUACCAAGGCAACGAUGCGUAGCCGACCUGAGAGGGUGAUCGGCCACACUGGAACUGAGACACGGUCCAGACUCCUACGGGAGGCAGCAGUAGGGAAUCUUCCGCAAUGGGCGAAAGCCUGACGGAGCAACGCCGCGUGAGUGAUGAAGGUCUUCGGAUCGUAAAACUCUGUUAUUAGGGAAGAACAAAUGUGUAAGUAACUAUGCACGUCUUGACGGUACCUAAUCAGAAAGCCACGGCUAACUACGUG